This is a long non-coding RNA of Panicum virgatum (switchgrass), 516 nucleotides long. RefSeq lists it as uncharacterized. The record is from RefSeq and is a predicted model, not a curated record. The transcript has 2 exons. Lineage: Eukaryota; Viridiplantae; Streptophyta; Magnoliopsida; Poales; Poaceae.
UCGAGCGGAUCUGGCGGAUGGCGACCCUGCUGGCGUGCUCGGGCGAGGUGGAGAACUUGUCGCCGCUGUCGUUGUGGCGCUCCUCGCCGUCGUGGCCGUUUGCGCCGACGGCGCCUCCACGUUCUACUCCUCGGUCCCCAACCUCGGAUCCGCCCGCGUCGUCUUCGAGGUUGAGACAUAAGUUUGAGAUGGUGGACGGCAUGCAAGCUUCAAGACCUAAGUUUGAGAUGUUUGAGAGUUUGUUCAUGCGCUAUAUACAUUUCUCUUGCUCCUCUUCCUCCUUUAGAUCUCUCUGUCUAGCUUCUUGAUUGAGUGAUUGUUGGUUUGGAGCUGUUAUCUACCACCGUUGUGCAAGUUUUAGAUAAGCUCUGUUACUUAUGAAUUCUUUGAGUACAAGUAAUUACUGGAUUUUUCUUGUUUACUAUUGUAUUUACUGAUGGAUGAAAGCCUGUAUGAUAGAUGGAUGGAUGGAAGCCUGUAUGUGUUAUAUACUCAAUGCCAUAGCCACCUGUAUUA